CGUACUCAGUUCGGAUUGUAGUCUGCAACUCGACUACAUGAAGCUGGAAUCGCUAGUAAUCGCGGAUCAGAAUGCCGCGGUGAAUACGUUCCCGGGUCUUGUACGCACCGCCCGUCACACCAUGGGAGUCGGAAAUGCCCGAAGUCUGUGACCGAACCGAAAGGAAGGAGCAGCCGAAGGCAGGUCGGAUGACUGGGGUGAAGUCGUAACAAGGUAGC
This 218-nucleotide ribosomal RNA is filed under the name uncultured bacterium. RNAcentral describes it as "partial 16S ribosomal RNA". It matches the Rfam family "Bacterial small subunit ribosomal RNA", at positions 1283 to 1500 of the family's 1533-position model. The record is from RNAcentral.